AUCAAGCGGCAACUUUUAAGAGAAAAGUUCCGAAUCCAAACAAACUCAAAGUCCAAUGAAGAAUAUAGGUUUCGAUUUCCAAUACCGAUCAAGUGCCGAACUAGCCAAAAAAUUUCAGAUUAAGAGAGAAAAGCUUACAAGUGAUUGCAACGAUAAAGCUGCUAAAGAGCAGGCAUUACUUGGAGUUAAAAGGAAGAAUUAUAUGCCUGCAACAUUAGAAGGACAAAGUAGAUAGAGGUUAACUCAAUCGGAUGUGUCAGUUCAAAAGUUAGGAAGGAAUAGAUUACCGGUGUACAAAUCAAUCCAAUCGUCUUCAAGGGAAGAUCUGAACACUUCACAUAAUAUUGCAAGUAAAGGACAAAUUAAACAAAGGUCAAUGCAAUUGGAGGAGCCCAUUCAAAAGCAAGGAAUGAGUAAAUUACCUUGUGCCCACAUCCAUGAUCCAAUCAUCUGCAAAGGUAGAUCCUAACACUUUACAUGUGAUUAGAAGAACACAAGGUGAAGGAGAGAAACAAUUUAAUAUUCAAGAGCUACAAAAUUGCAAAAAGGUAAAGACAAACUCAGUCCUACCGUCAACGAGUGUUAAUAAGUUUCUAAAAAAAUAUGGGAUACAAGUCGCUGGUGAAAAACAUCCUGAUAAUCACCCAGAAAAUGAAGUCAGAUUUAUGUCCUCUCCUAUUAUUGAUGAGCAUGAAAUAGAAUUGGAUAAUUUUGCUGCACAAGAUGAAGUUGGUGACGAUGAAUUUAUUGGAGAUGAGGAUAUGAACAUCGAUAGUGCUGCAGGUGGGACAUCAGAGAAGAAAAGAGUUAGAGGAAAAACAACAUGCAAGAAUAUUCGUGCAAGAAGUUUUGAAGAAAUAGAGGAGGUGACAUUUGGUAAAGUGUUGGACCAACUGACAAGAGAGUGUCUGAUUUGACCAACUUUUUAGGAACAAUUGCAAGGAAUCCAAGAUUUAUCCCCUUGGUGCAUACUAGUUGGCAUGUUGUGUCAAAGGAUAUUAAGCAACGAAUGUGGGAAUAUGUCAAUUCCAAGUUCUUAAUUCCAGUUGAAGGAGAGAAGUGGGUAAUGACUGAUCUUCGUGAUGCUUGGAAGCGACACAAGAGGAAUAUUAAGAAGAAAUAUUUUGAUAAAAAUGUUACUAUUGAACAAAUGCUACAAAAUCGUCCCAAAUGAGAUACUUGAAGUUCAGUUCCGUCAAUUGAUUGAGUAUUGGGAUGACGAAGAUGUCGAAGAAAAAAUAAAAGUGGAGGCAUCGAAUGGGACCUAUUAAUUUUGCAAGAGUGCGUGUGGCAUUGCGCGCAACCAAAGAGAACAACGAGGAACCAUCAAAGUCUGAAAUGUUUAUUACAACUCGUACAAAGAAAGGGAAGGAAGUUCAUACAGAUACUCAA
Molecule: non-coding RNA, 1392 nt
Organism: Nicotiana tabacum (common tobacco)
Lineage: Eukaryota; Viridiplantae; Streptophyta; Magnoliopsida; Solanales; Solanaceae
Source: RefSeq, a predicted model, not a curated record